RNAcentral lists this ribosomal RNA (492 nucleotides) under uncultured bacterium. Its description in RNAcentral is "partial 16S ribosomal RNA". It matches the Rfam family "Bacterial small subunit ribosomal RNA", at positions 29 to 507 of the family's 1533-position model. The record is from RNAcentral.
AGUGAACGCUGGCGGUAGGCCUAACACAUGCAAGUCGAACGGCAGCACAGUAAGAGCUUGCUCUUACGGGUGGCGAGUGGCGGACGGGUGAGGAAUACAUCGGACUCUACUUUUUCGUGGGGGAUAACGUAGGGAAACUUACGCUAAUACCGCAUACGACCUACGGGUGAAAGCAGGGGAUCUUCGGACCUUGCGCGAUUGAAUGAGCCGAUGUCGGAUUAGCUAGUUGGCGGGGUAAAGGCCCACCAAGGCGACGAUCCGCAGCUGGUCUGAGAGGAUGAUCAGCCACACUGGAACUGAGACACGGUCCAGAGUCCUACGAGAGGCAGCAGUGGGGAAUAUGGGACAAUGGGCGCAAGCCUGAUCCAGCCAUACCGCGUGGGUGAAGAAGGCCUUCGGGUUGUAAAGCCCUUUUGUUGGGAAAGAAAAGCAGCAGGUUAAUACCCAGCUGUUCUGACGGUACCCAAAGAAUAAGCACCGGCUAACUUCGUG